Molecule: long non-coding RNA, 1439 nt
Organism: Cannabis sativa
Lineage: Eukaryota; Viridiplantae; Streptophyta; Magnoliopsida; Rosales; Cannabaceae
Exons: 2
Source: RefSeq, a predicted model, not a curated record
UUUUUGCAAAAUAAAAUCUAAUUGUGGUUAGUUCUCAAUAUAAACGUAUUUUUGCAAAAAAAAGUUCAUUAAAAAUACAAAAGUGAAAAGAGCCCUUUAUUGUUUUUGUUUUUUGAAAUCAAUCAUAAUUUAUUUCACACUAUUUUCAAACGGUCCCAAUGAGAAUCUGAGUCUCAAUAUCGAAGGCAGAAAUUCAAAUCUCCCCAAUCACCAUACCACUCCAAAUCCAAUCCUAUAAACGAUUCUCACUGACCCAUGAAAUUCCAAUCCAGAAAGUAACAAUCUUGAAUGUGCCCAGAAGCUCGAUCAACAAAUCGAUCGACUGGGUUUGAGCGACUGAGGUGGGUUCUAUGGUAUUUCUUUCCUGAAAUCGAGUUUUUGGAUCUGCAAUAGCUUUAUUACUCUUCUAUAGUUUUUGGAGUUCAGGGAUGAGGUGUAUGAACUCCUUUUGAAGCUUCCAAUUACUUAUGGGAUUUGGGUAAUUUUUAAUGUCAGGUUAAUUUUGUUUAUAUAUAAGAUGAUUCUGUUUGAUAAUCCUCAUUUUUUGUAUUAUUGGUGAUAGUAAAUUCUUCUCUUAGUUUUCAUACAUUCAUGGUACUAUACUACUACUUGCUGAUUUUGUUGGUCUAAUAUACCAAACAAAUUAGUUUCUCCUUUAUCUUUAUCAAUCUAUGUUCCAUAUUUCCCAAAUGGAUGAAUCACAAUUGUUUGAGAUUACAAAUUAGUUUCUCCUUUAUCUUUAUCAACCUAUGUUACAUUUGCAGAGCUUAAAUGUUCCGCCCAAUUACAGGUGUAUGAACUCCUUUUGAAGCUUCCAAUUACUUACGGGAUUUGGGUAUUUUUGUCUUAGAAAUUUGUGUUAUUAUGAAAGUAGUUUAUGUUAAAACAAUUCUACUUGCUUGAGAUUGAGUGAGUUGGUUUGUGUUGUUAGUUAGUGAUAUUUUUUCAUAGCCAGUCAAGAGUGUUGUAUCUCCAACAUCUUCCAUUAGAUGGGACUUUGGUUAAUUUUUAAUUGUCAAGUAAAUUAAAGAAAUGUAUUAUGCAGCAAAAUAAAACUAAAGAAGGUGUUGAAGUGUUGGCCAAAUAACAAAGUCCCUAAACUACCCCUACUGCUCAUAACAGAAUUAACCAACUUUCAGUUAUGACAGUUGGUGAUCGAGCCUUUCUCACCAGCUUCAAUCAACAUUGCUAUUUAAGGCUCAACUAGAUUAAAGUUUGUGGGUUAAUUUUUCGAGGGAAUACAGAUUGUGAGAAAGAGAGAAUUAUGAGCUGUUUAGAGAGAGAUGAGUUGCCCUUGAGUGUUAUGUAAUGGUGUGAGUUCAAUUGCAGAAGCAAAGCUUCUCAAGAUUGUGUAAUUGGAACUGUUGUAAUCUCUCAUUAAAUAUAAGCUAAUAAAGAUUCUCUAAAGCCAUUGUUGUGGCUGUUUUCUGGCCGGUGGA